This 868-nucleotide long non-coding RNA is filed under the name Homo sapiens (human). RNAcentral describes it as "HSALNT0155779". The record is from RNAcentral. Lineage: Eukaryota; Metazoa; Chordata; Mammalia; Primates; Hominidae.
UCCAGCCCCACCCGCCAGGUAACUUUUGAAAGCGCCGGAGCGCGCGCGCACCUCCCCCGCGCUCCGCUGUGCCCUCCCCCGCGUUCCCCUGUGCCCGCCCUCGCAGCCUCGCGCAUGCGCGUAGCUCCCUGGGCGCUUCGAAGAUCCAGCGGCUUGCUGUGAGUCCGGGAGGCAAAAUUGUACCCAUUUCAAAGAUGUGAUGACUAAAGUCUCGAGAGGGCCAAGGCUCGCCCAAGGUUGCUCUGUGGUGACAGCUUUACCUCCUUGCUAUGUAUUCUCAGAUAUUGCAAACGGACGAGAGAAAAGUGGAGAAUGAAUCCUGGAGAAAACAAGGUCGUUCGACGAUUUCGACACGUCGCAUCCCUGAGAGUCUCUCGUGUCCUGAUCAACUCGAGAACUGGAGGCGGUGACAUUUUAGAUGCUGCAGUGAAAGCCACAGAGCCACGGAAGGCCGAGACUCCACCAUGUUUGUGAUCUUCACAUUCAGCAAACUCACUCGCACUCUGCCUCAUCUUAUCUCUAGAAUGUAUUUUACCACACUGUGUCCCUUCUUUAGUGGGAAUGUCUUUGGCCAAAAAUAAUGAAUAGUUCUGACCUGACUUGCUAAUACCCAGUGAUAAAAGGAUGGAAUUUGUUGGGAAUAAAAGAAAACUAAGCUUACAAACGAGGGCCCUGAUGCUCCGUUCCGAGCUUGGUCAUCUAAUUUCCAGCCACAAUGUGGUCGAGAUGACAUUUGGAGAGGCCCCAGGUGGACAUCAAUACACUGUCAACCUCCAUACUCAACUCUAAGCUGUCCCUGGGAAUUUCAGCCAUUCCUAACCUCCAGAGGGCGCCCGCUAUGCCCUUACUCCCCUAAACCAAGGUUCCA